This 235-nucleotide ribosomal RNA is filed under the name uncultured bacterium. RNAcentral's name for it is "partial 16S ribosomal RNA". It matches the Rfam family "Bacterial small subunit ribosomal RNA", at positions 96 to 334 of the family's 1533-position model. The record is from RNAcentral.
UGGCGGACGGGUGAGUAAUGUCUGGGAAACUGCCUGAUGGAGGGGGAUAACUACUGGAAACGGUAACUAAUACCGCAUAACGUCGCAAGACCAAAGAGGGGGACCUUAGGGCCUCUUGCCAUCGGAUGUGCCCAGAUGGGAUUAGCUAGUAGGUAAGGUAACGGCUUACCUAGGCGACGAUCCCUAGCUGGUCUGAGAGGAUGAUCAGCCACACUGGGACUGAGACACGGCCCAG